Molecule: ribosomal RNA, 2916 nt
Rfam family: Bacterial large subunit ribosomal RNA
GUUAUAUGGUCAAGUGACCAAGUGCACACGGUGGAUGCCUAGGCAAUCAGAGGCGAUGAAGGACGUGGAAGUCUGCGAUAAGCGUCGGUGAGGUGACAAACAACCGUUAUAACCGACGAUUUCCGAAUGGGGAAACCCACCUGUCAUAAGACAGGUAUCUCUGGCGUGAAUACAUAGCACCAGAGAGGCGAACCCGGGGAACUGAAACAUCUAAGUACCCGGAGGAAAAGAAAUCAACCGAGAUUCCGUUAGUAGCGGCGAGCGAACGCGGAUUAGCCCUUAAGCUUUUACAUGGAUAAGAGAACGGUCUGGAAAGUCCGGCGACAGAGGGUGAUAGCCCCGUAUCUGAAAUCCUGUUUUAAGUGAAAUCGAGUAGGUCGGGACACGUGAUAUCCUGAUUGAACAUGGGGGGACCAUCCUCCAAGGCUAAAUACUCCUGAUUGACCGAUAGUGAACCAGUACCGUGAGGGAAAGGCGAAAAGAACCCCGUUUAGGGGAGUGAAAUAGAUCCUGAAACCGUGUGCAUACAAGCAGUAGGAGCAGACUUGUUCUGUGACUGCGUACCUUUUGUAUAAUGGGUCAGCGACUUACAUUUUGUAGCAAGGUUAACCGAUUAGGGGAGCCGUAGAGAAAUCGAGUCUUAAAUGGGCGUCAUAGUUGCAAGGUGUAGACCCGAAACCCGGCGAUCUAUCCAUGGGCAGGUUGAAGGUUGAGUAACAUCAACUGGAGGACCGAACCGACUGUCGUUGAAAAGCCAGCGGAUGACUUGUGGAUCGGAGUGAAAGGCUAAUCAAGCCGGGAGAUAGCUGGUUCUCCUCGAAAGCUAUUUAGGUAGCGCCUCGCAUCUUACUAUUGGGGGUAGAGCACUGUUAAGGCUAGGGGGUCAUCCCGACUUACCAACCCUUUGCAAACUACGAAUACCAAUAAGUACAAUUGCGGGAGACACACGGCGGGUGCUAACGUCCGUCGUGGAAAGGGAAACAACCCAGACCGUCAGCUAAGGUCCCCAAGUAAUGGUUAAGUGGGAAACGUUGUGGGAAGGCAUAGACAGCUAGGAUGUUGGCUUAGAAGCAGCCAUCAUUUAAAGAAAGCGUAAUAGCUCACUAGUCGAGUCGGCCUGCGCGGAAGAUUUAACGGGGCUUAAACCAUUCACCGAAGCUACGGAUGCAUAGCUUGCUAUGCAUGGUAGAGGAGCGUUCUGUAAGCCUGCGAAGGUCAAUUGAGAAGUUGGCUGGAGGUAUCAGAAGUGCGAAUGCUGACAUGAGUAACGAUAAGGGGAGUGAGAUGCUCCCCCGCCGAAAGACCAAGGGUUCCUGUUCUAUGCUAAUCAGAGCAGGGUGAGUCGGCCCCUAAGGCAAGGCUGAAAAGCGUAGUCGAUGGGAAGCGGGUUAAUAUUCCCGCACUAGUGUUCACUGCGAUGGGGUGACGGAGUAGGUUAGGCUAGCACGGCGUUGGUUGUCCGUGUUUAAGGUUGUAGGCUGGGAAUUUAGGCAAAUCCGGAUUCCUAAGGCUGAGAACUGAUGACGAGUCUCCACGGAGAUGAAGUAGUUGAUACCAUGCUUCCAGGAAAAACCUCUAAGCUUCAGGUGAACAGUAACCGUACCCCAAACCGACACAGGUGGUCAGGUAGAGAAUACCAAGGCGCUUGAGAGAACUCGGGUGAAGGAACUAGGCAAAAUGGUACCGUAACUUCGGGAGAAGGUACGCCGGUAUUGGUGAUGGAACUUGCUUCCUGAGCUGACGCUGGCCGAAGUAACCAGGUGGCUGCGACUGUUUAUUAAAAACACAGCACUCUGCAAACACGUAAGUGGAAGUAUAGGGUGUGACGCCUGCCCGGUGCCGGAAGGUUAAUUGAUGGGGUUAGCGCAAGCGAAGCUCUUGAUCGAAGCCCCGGUAAACGGCGGCCGUAACUAUAACGGUCCUAAGGUAGCGAAAUUCCUUGUCGGGUAAGUUCCGACCUGCACGAAUGGCGUAACGAUGGCCACACUGUCUCCACCCGAGACUCAGUGAAAUUGAAAUCGCUGUGAAGAUGCAGUGUACCCGCGGCUAGACGGAAAGACCCCGUGCACCUUUACUACAGCUUUGCACUGGACCUUGAGCCUACUUGUGUAGGAUAGGUGGGAGACUUUGAAGCGUUGUCGCUAGAUGACGUGGAGUCAAUCUUGAAAUACCACCCUGGUAUGCUUGAGGUUCUAACCCAGGCCCGUAAUCCGGGUCGGGGACAGUGUAUGGUGGGUAGUUUGACUGGGGCGGUCUCCUCCCAAAGAGUAACGGAGGAGCACGAAGGUCGGCUAAUCCUGGUCGGACAUCAGGAGGUUAGUGCAAUGGCAUAAGCCGGCUUAACUGCGAGAUAGACACAUCGAGCAGGUACGAAAGUAGGUCAUAGUGAUCCGGUGGUUCUGUAUGGAAGGGCCAUCGCUCAACGGAUAAAAGGUACGCCGGGGAUAACAGGCUGAUACCGCCCAAGAGUUCAUAUCGACGGCGGUGUUUGGCACCUCGAUGUCGGCUCAUCACAUCCUGGGGCUGUAGCCGGUCCCAAGGGUAUGGCUGUUCGCCAUUUAAAGUGGUACGCGAGCUGGGUUUAGAACGUCGUGAGACAGUUCGGUCCCUAUCUACCGUGGGCGUUAGAGAUUUGAGGGAAGCUGCUCCUAGUACGAGAGGACCGGAGUGGACGAACCCCUGGUGUUCGGGUUGUCAUGCCAAUGGCAUUGCCCGGUAGCUACGUUCGGACGGGAUAAGCGCUGAAAGCAUCUAAGCGCGAAGCCUCUCCCAAGAUGAGAUCUCUCUGGACCUUGAGUCCCUGAAGGGUCGUUGAAGACUACAACGUUGAUAGGCAGGGUGUGUAAGCACUGUAAGGUGUUGAGCUAACCUGUACUAAUUGCCCGUGAGGCUUGACCAUAUAACACCCAAGCAGUU